RNAcentral lists this ribosomal RNA (230 nucleotides) under Pycnococcus provasolii. RNAcentral describes it as "partial Bacterial small subunit ribosomal RNA". It matches the Rfam family "Bacterial small subunit ribosomal RNA", at positions 289 to 511 of the family's 1533-position model. The record is from RNAcentral. Lineage: Eukaryota; Viridiplantae; Chlorophyta; Pseudoscourfieldiophyceae; Pseudoscourfieldiales; Pycnococcaceae.
GGUCUGAGAGGAUGAUCAGCCACAUCGGGACUGAGACACGGCCCGAACUCCUACGGGAGGCAGCAGUGGGGAAUAUUGGACAAUGGGGGCAACCCUGAUCCAGCCAUGCCGCGUGUGUGAAGAAGGCUUUCGGGUUGUAAAGCACUUUCAGUGAGGAGGAAAACUCUGCGACUAAUACUCGUAGGGCUUGACGUUACUCACAGAAGAAGCACCGGCUAACUCCGUGCCAG